UCUGAAGAAUUAAAGAGGAGUCCUGCUGUGAAAAUGACUGAAUAUAUUCCUGUUUCUUUAUAUUCAGAAAUCAUUCUUUUUAAUCUUACAGACUAGGACACAAUUUUGCUGUCCAGUUUCAAAAUCACGGAUGAAUGUUGAAGAAAGCAGCUGAGAUGCAAAAAAAGUUGUGUGGGAGAAAGGAGAGCACAGAGACAGAUGGACAGACAGACAGACAGAGAGAUCUCAGCAGCAAGAAGUCUCAGCUAGACCAUGCAAGAAAAAGUGUUACUCCUGGCCUGAGAGUUUUGCUCAAGAAUGAAAUGCCUGUCAAUCAAAAAGUAAAACUAUAAAGGAUGGGUAGAAAGCCCAGAAGAUAUAAACCAAAUUUGAAAAUCACGACGCUUCAAUGAGAUAUAAGAAGUGAAGGGACAUUCGGAAAUGUGUUUUCUCACCAUCUCUUACUGCUGCUACAAGAGCUACUGACCGCAAAAGGGAGAAGAUAAUUGCAGGUGAAUCCACACUUUCCGUUCAGAUAUCGUCUUUGAGAAGCAACCAAGAAACCCUUUAGACUGCUGGGCUGCCAGAUCUAAUCUCCCUGUCUAGACUAAAUAAAAAUCCAUAAUUAUAGAAU
Non-coding RNA from Myodes glareolus (Bank vole), 613 nucleotides. NCBI's taxonomy places the organism in Eukaryota, Metazoa, Chordata, Mammalia, Rodentia, Cricetidae. The record is from RefSeq and is a predicted model, not a curated record.